Molecule: long non-coding RNA, 432 nt
Organism: Raphanus sativus (radish)
Lineage: Eukaryota; Viridiplantae; Streptophyta; Magnoliopsida; Brassicales; Brassicaceae
Exons: 3
Source: RefSeq, a predicted model, not a curated record
CUCACCGCCGCUUACUCUAAACACUAGCUAGCACCGCCGUUUCUUCUAAACCCUAGCGCCGCCGCUUCUUCUAAACCCUAGCGCCGCCGCUUCUUCUCUGUAAACCGUAGCGCCGUUUCUCUGUAAACCCUAACGCCGAUCUAUAACCACAAUGACGAGUACUCGAACUCCUUCUGCGACUAAUCAGACAAAAAGGAUGGAUAUUCCAGAACUCCCCCGUAGGUUAUACACAUUAGGGGAAGAGCCAGAACCCCACAAUAGCAUUUCGUAUCAUACGGAUAACACGAAGUUGCAUACUGCUCUUAGGGAAGCUCUCACUGAUGCUGAAUUUGAAGAGCUCAAGGAGUCGAGAUUGGGAGUUUUCAUCAAGUUCAAGGAGCAGGGAUUUGGUUGGGCUUCAAGGCUGGUUCACCACUUGCUCGGUUUAAAGCU